This 252-nucleotide ribosomal RNA is filed under the name uncultured bacterium. RNAcentral describes it as "partial 16S ribosomal RNA". It matches the Rfam family "Bacterial small subunit ribosomal RNA", at positions 524 to 776 of the family's 1533-position model. The record is from RNAcentral.
UACGUAGGUCCCGAGCGUUGUCCGGAUUUAUUGGGCGUAAAGCGAGCACAGGUGGUUUAUUAAGUCUGGUGUAAAAGGCAGUGGCUCAACCAUUGUAUGCAUUGGAAACUGGUAGACUUGAGUGCAGGAGAGGAGAGUGGAAUUCCAUGUGUAGCGGUGAAAUGCGUAGAUAUAUGGAGGAACACCGGUGGCGAAAGCGGCUCUCUGGCCUGUAACUGACACUGAGACUCGAAAGCGUGGGGAGCAAACAGG